This 489-nucleotide ribosomal RNA is filed under the name uncultured bacterium. RNAcentral's name for it is "partial 16S ribosomal RNA". It matches the Rfam family "Bacterial small subunit ribosomal RNA", at positions 355 to 861 of the family's 1533-position model. The record is from RNAcentral.
UGGGGAAUCUUAGACAAUGGGGGAAACCCUGAUCUAGCCAUGCCGCGUGAGCGAUGAAGGCCUUAGGGUUGUAAAGCUCUUUCAGCUGGGAAGAUAAUGACGGUACCAGCAGAAGAAGCCCCGGCUAACUCCGUGCCAGCAGCCGCGGUAAUACGGAGGGGGCUAGCGUUGUUCGGAAUUACUGGGCGUAAAGCGCACGUAGGCGGAUUAGUCAGUCAGAGGUGAAAUCCCAGGGCUCAACCCUGGAACUGCCUUUGAUACUGCUAGUCUUGAGGUCGAGAGAGGUGAGUGGAAUUCCGAGUGUAGAGGUGAAAUUCGUAGAUAUUCGGAGGAACACCAGUGGCGAAGGCGGCUCACUGGCUCGAUACUGACGCUGAGGUGCGAAAGCGUGGGGAGCAAAACAGGAUUAGAUACCCUGGUAGUCCACGCCGUAAACGAUGAAUGCCAGUCGUCGGGUUGCAUGCAAUUCGGUGACACACCUAACGGAUU